UAGGUGGAGCGGUGGUCUCCCGAUCAGGAAGUCCCCGGUUCGAUUCCCGGCACU
RNAcentral lists this transfer RNA (54 nucleotides) under Tetraselmis striata. Its description in RNAcentral is "partial tRNA". Lineage: Eukaryota; Viridiplantae; Chlorophyta; Chlorodendrophyceae; Chlorodendrales; Chlorodendraceae. The record is from RNAcentral.